AUACGGAGGAUGCGAGCGUUAUCCGGAUUUAUUGGGUUUAAAGGGAGCGUAGGCGGGAGCUUAAGUCAGCGGUUAAAUGGUGCGGCUCAACCGUGCCCUGCCGUUGAAACUGGGUUUCUUGAGAGUGCAAGAGGCGGAUGGAAUUCAUGGGGUAGCGGUGAAAUGCUUAGAUAUCAUGAAGAACUCCGAUUGCGAAGGCAGUCCGCUGGGGCACGUCUGACGCUGAUGCUCGAAGGUGCGGGAAUCAAACAGGAUUAGAUACUCUGGUAGUCCGCACGGUAAACGAUGAUUACCCGCUGUCGGCGGCAGACAGUCGGCGGCCAAGCGAAAGCGAUAAGUAAUCCACCUGGGGAGUACGCCGGCAGCGGUGAAACUCAAAGGAAUUGGCGGGG
This 392-nucleotide ribosomal RNA is filed under the name uncultured bacterium. RNAcentral's name for it is "partial 16S ribosomal RNA". It matches the Rfam family "Bacterial small subunit ribosomal RNA", at positions 523 to 918 of the family's 1533-position model. The record is from RNAcentral.